CCGUCCAGAUAUGCAACGGUAUAUUCAGUGCCUGACACGUGGCUAGGCAAGCCUACGUAUUCCUGCUGGUGCUUGGUUCAGGCUAUGUGCCUGGCUAGGUCCGGUGGGUCUGGUGUAACGCCAGAGCGAUAUGACCGAAACUGUACUCUGGACUUCAGGGUAUGGAGGUCGACACGAUAUCCAAAUGUGGAAUGAGCGUGAAGGCAAUAAAUCGUUUGUAGACGACUUAAUGUUUUGUCGGGGAGACGUAAGUGUAAGAGCAGCUAUCACACUGCGAGACACUGAGUCCUAUCCCUACUUGACGUAAUGAUUUGAGGGCACGACCCUCAUUCAUUAGGGGCCGUAUAGGCCCCGCGGGCGCACUCAUAUAUGUGCAUACAAGUGUAUACUUCUGUGUAUACAUCAAUCCAUCGUUGGGUAGUGAACAUGGGGCCCGUCUGCCUACAUGCUUUUGGGCUCAUAGACAUUUGUCUGCGUCCAUUUGUGUGCGAGUGCUUGACUGACUUGUGUGCUCCCUUUGCUUAGUGUAUGCUAUGCAUUGGUUGAGCUGACUUCAGUCUUGCUCCAUAGGCAACGUGCUUGAACUUCGAUAUAUAUGGUAUUACCCUGCGGUGGUUUGUUGUAUAUGCGUGGGUGUACGCGUGUGUUCAUAUAUGUACAUGUGUAUGCUUGUGUAUAUGCAUACGUGCGUGUAUGUGUAUUCGUAUACGUACGAAUGCAUGUAUAAACGUCUACGUUUAAGUAUAUACAGGUGUAUGUGUGUAUAUGUGCUGACGUGUGUAUAUCUAUACGUAUACGUGGGGUGAAUUUCCUCGCAUAUGAAGUGGGAUGGCUGCUCGCUCCUUAGCGGAGGGCUGGUUCUUCGGGGCUGGUCAUUCGUUCUCGAGUGUGGCGUGCCUCUCUUGAGCUGAUUAAUCCGAUUGGCUUGUCCUGUAAGCCGGGCGACCAGGUGCAGGUUGCUUUGGUGGUGCAUGAUCGAUAUUCGCUAGCAGGAAACUGCUGUAUGAAUGGGAAUGUGACGCCCGGGGCAACGUCUCUUCCUGUGAAAACAUGUGGUGGUGCGCAUGUGAAGCUAACGCUCCGUGAAACCGCGACACGGUCCAGCGGCUAGCUCGUUGAUUUUGAUCCUGUGCCCCGACGGCUUCGGCUGAACGGGUUGAGGACUGUGAAU
This 1171-nucleotide unclassified non-coding RNA is filed under the name Fasciola gigantica. Its description in RNAcentral is "partial non-transcribed intergenic spacer". Lineage: Eukaryota; Metazoa; Platyhelminthes; Trematoda; Plagiorchiida; Fasciolidae. The record is from RNAcentral.